Molecule: transfer RNA, 87 nt
Filed under: Sneathiellales bacterium
Lineage: Bacteria; Pseudomonadati; Pseudomonadota; Alphaproteobacteria; Sneathiellales
Description: tRNA-Leu
Rfam family: tRNA
About the family: Transfer RNA (tRNA) molecules are approximately 80 nucleotides in length.
Source: RNAcentral
GGCCGCUUGCUGGAACUGGUAGACAGACCGGACUUAAAAUCCGUUGGGCGUAUGCCCGUGUGGGUUCGAUUCCCACAGCGGCCACCA